AAGGCCGUAGCUACAGAGUGUAAGACAACCAUCUUCAACAUCUCAGCUUCCAGCAUUGUCAGCAAGUGGAGGGGAGACUCUGAGAAACUGGUCAGGGUAGGCUGUCAGCUAUAGGAAGAAUUUUACAAAAACAUGUUUGUAUACUAUACUUUGUGUUUUGUGUUUCAUUUUUUUUAGGUCUGAUUACACUGGUCAACACUGAAAUUGUUACUGACCUAAAAAGGUUCUAAUCUGUAGUGUCUUGGUGUGCUGAACACAAAUAUGAGCAUGAAAAUUUUGUAUUUGCUCUCGUUUGGAAGAUAUUUCAUAUAGGUUUUUUUCUAUGUUUCACUGUGUACAUUUAUCCAGCAGGACUGUAACAACAUCCUAAAUAAGCAUAGAACGAUGUAAUAUUGCAUCACAUUGGAUAAUACCAUCAUGUACCCAUCAUCCAGAGUUUAUUCUAUUAUUUCCUGAAGCAAUGCAGUACUACUGCCAGGCAGCUGCUGAAGUAAGCUGACAUCAGCAGUGUACUAUACAAAGCCUAGUUGGAAAAUUUGAGAAAUAUUUCAGACUUCAUGGGAUACAGUUUAAGCUACUGUUACAUAAAACUGUCAUUAUUCUAUCCAUUUAGUUACAAUAAAGAACACUAAUGCCUUAAAAGUGUGUUAAUGCUGUGGACAGUUUUUGCUAUAUUUGUGGGGAAAUGACAUUUGCCAACCAGAAGAAAGUAUCACUUCUCAAGUGAAGAAGGCAUAUCGUCUUUACUUCGGAUGCAAGAUUGGCGAUCAAGACAAGCCUUGGGCCCCGCAUAUAUGCUAUGCUACAUGUACAACACAGCUUUCAUAGUGGUUACAUGGCAUACAUUCCGUGAUGUAAACAAUAAAUAUUGCAGAUUACAAAUAAACUAGAACCAAUUUUGCAUUUUGACUGUCAUAUUCGUUUUGAGUAAAUAAAAACUGAUAAGAAAUGACUCAUUUUAUUUCUGUAACAUGACUUUUGUACAAAUAUGUUGACCGUGUAUGUAGUGUAAGUUAUUUAAUACAUGUGUCUGCACGUUCUAUUUGAGCUGGCCGGGUACCACGCUCCAUCCACCAUCUUCCUGGAUGAGCUUGAGUCAGUGAUGGGCCAGAGAGCAGCAUGGGGUGACCUUAACCACUAAGUGCAGUAAAAUGUAGAUAUGCCACUGCUGCUGUCCACAAAAACUCUGUUCACUGCUUUCAGAGGCGAGCACGAGGGGAGUCGCAGGAUGAAGAUCAAGUUACUGGUUCAGUUGGAUGAGUCUUACCUCUUCACCAGCUCGCCAAGCCAUGACGUCUCACUGGCUGCCUCUUCUUAGCUGCACAGGAGGCGUUGAGCUAUGCACUGUACUGGAGAGUUGGAGGGCUACUCUGGCUCAGAUAUAAGAUGGCAUGUAAGGAAGCUGCCAUGAGACCAGUUGGAAAAAUCUUUGAUGCUCUGGAGUCACAUCAGGAUGACGACACAGCCCGCCAUCCAACUGGAAACUGUAACAACGACUGAUUUCCUGAAUGUGAUUGAACACACCAAACACUCAGCACGAAACCUGAUAGACAGAUACACAGCCUGGAAGAGAGAGUACCAAUCUGUCUGACACUAGAACAGCACAAUUUAAAAUUUAAAAAUGCUGGUUGAAUCAUUUGUUUUCUUUUUUUAUUAUCUGAAAAAAAAUAUACAACC
Non-coding RNA from Neolamprologus brichardi, 1677 nucleotides. The record is from RefSeq and is a predicted model, not a curated record. Lineage: Eukaryota; Metazoa; Chordata; Actinopteri; Cichliformes; Cichlidae.